GACACUAAUAUUCCACUAGGUCAGAUGUCUUUCCUGAUGACUGACACUCAGUGAAGUGUAAUGGUCAAUUAUUAUUGAUAUUAUCCGAGUAAUGUAUGGGCAUCAAACCCUCUUACUUGGCCUUGGAAGCACCAUGAUUCAACUCAUCAGUAUACCCUGGUGCUCAGGCUGAGCAGAGGAGUAAGCUCUGAAGUCGUUCUCAAGGAAUUCUUAAAACAUUGUGGGUGACACAUACUGUCUGUGUAUUAGAGACACAAGUGAUCUUUAUAUAUAUAUAUAAUAAUUAAUUCCUUUUUUCCUCUGCAUGUCAAUGCUGUUGUUCCUUAAUAAGUACAUUUAGAACUUUUAUGAAUUUAUAAUAACAUGUCAAUGUAAGCUACUUCUUUUGAAAAAUUUAAAGAUCAACUGUUUUGUUUCUACAAGGCCACUACUGUGUGAGUCAAAAUAAAUAUACCUCUGAAAAGCAAUUUUCAUGAAAAUUAGCAAGUGUUGCGCUUGUUGUCCCUUUCUGUAGUCACUGUGCAGGUUAUCAAGGCGUUCAUCUCACAAGUGGAAAGAAGCAGUAGCCGUCCAGUACUUGGCAGAUGCAGGAAAUUAAAUUUUAUAGCGGUCUAGUACAUCUAGUGCAUUCAUAUUUAGCUUAUCUUGUGCUAUGAGAAACACUAAUGCAUGCAAGUGAAGUUAGUCAGCUGUGGUGGUCAAAUCUGCUCCCUACUGAUUCUUUGAAUUUCAAAUGCAUUUUCUGGACUUGACACUUGCCUGCUAGUGUCCUGGGUUAGCCAUGAGGGAGGCAAAGAGAUAGCAUAGAGUGAGGAAUGCUGCCAGGAGGUCAUAAAGGUAGUCUGUGCUGGGGUCUGGCUGUGCUAGUCACAGUCUUUAGUUGGACAGAAUAUUCGCCAUCAGAUCUAUCACACUUGCAUCAUUAUCUAUCACAUGGAGUAUUCAGUUGUUACGAUGGUUUUUAAUUUUGAGGUUCGUUUUGGGAAUUACUAUAGAAUACUUUUGACACAUUGUAAAUACUGGAUAUUUUCAUUAGAAGAAUAUGUGUGGAGGAGAAAAGAAAGUGGAAAUGUCUGAAACAAUUAAAGUGAUGAGACAAAAAAG
Molecule: long non-coding RNA, 1104 nt
Filed under: Mus musculus (house mouse)
Lineage: Eukaryota; Metazoa; Chordata; Mammalia; Rodentia; Muridae
Description: long non-coding RNA chr5:15969941-15971045
Source: RNAcentral